GAUGAACGCUGGCGGCGUGCCUAAUACAUGCAAGUCGAACGCUUUGUCUUUAAUUGAUAUGCAGAGCUUGCUCUGAUUUGAUUUUAUCUGACAAAGAGUGGCGAACGGGUGAGUAACACGUGGGUAACCUACCUCUUAGCAGGGGAUAACAUUUGGAAACAAGUGCUAAUACCGUAUAACACUAACAACCGCAUGGUUGUUAGUUGAAAGAUGGUUCUGCUAUCACUAAGAGAUGGACCCGCGGUGCAUUAGCUAGUUGGUAAGGUAAUGGCUUACCAAGGCGAUGAUGCGUAGCCGAGUUGAGAGACUGAUCGGCCACAAUGGGACUGAGACACGGCCCAUACUCCUACGGGAGGCAGCAGUAGGGAAUCUUCCACAAUGGGCGCAAGCCUGAUGGAGCAACGCCGCGUGUGUGAUGAAGGGUUUCGGCUCGUAAAACACUGUUAUAAGAGAAGAACGACAUUGAGAGUAACUGUUCAGUGUGUGACGGUAUCUUAUCAGAAAGGAACGGCUAAAUACGUG
RNAcentral lists this ribosomal RNA (522 nucleotides) under uncultured bacterium. RNAcentral's name for it is "partial 16S ribosomal RNA". It matches the Rfam family "Bacterial small subunit ribosomal RNA", at positions 28 to 507 of the family's 1533-position model. The record is from RNAcentral.